RNAcentral lists this unclassified non-coding RNA (382 nucleotides) under soil metagenome. Its description in RNAcentral is "partial contains 5.8S ribosomal RNA, internal transcribed spacer 2, and large subunit ribosomal RNA". The stretch from base 1 to 120 matches the Rfam family "5.8S ribosomal RNA", at positions 35 to 154 of the family's 154-position model. The record is from RNAcentral.
GAUGAAGAACGCAGCGAAAUGCGAUAAGUAAUGUGAAUUGCAGAAUUCAGUGAAUCAUCGAAUCUUUGAACGCACCUUGCACCCUUUGGCAUUCCGAAGGGUAUGCUCGUUUGAGUGUCAUUGUACUCUCACACUUCUGAUCCUUUGGAUUGGGAGCGGUGGACUUGGGUGUUGCUGCUUUACUGUGGCUCACCUCAAAUGCAUUCGUGCAACUCUUGGUUGGACAUAGUACGGCGUGAUAAGUAUCUUCGCCGGCACCUCGCAAGAGGGUGGCUGAUCAGGAGCUCUGUGCUUUCCAAAUGUCUUCAGACAACAACUGACAACUUGACCUCAAAUCGAGUAGGACCACCCGCUGAACUUAAGCAUAUCAAUAAGCGGAGGA